AUACCGUUUCCUGUUCUAAUGUGCCAGUGAUGGUCUGCACAAUUGCAUAUAUGCCUCUAACUUUUCUCUGCAAGCCCCAAGACUGAUAAGCAAAGGCUUGGUACUCAACCCUUUAAGUUAGUACUGCCAGUGAAGGGCGUGAAUAAAAUGCUUUUCUGUCUGUGAUGGACAGAUGAAGGGACAGGAACUCAAGUACCACGGGAACCUGGAGUUAGCAGAUGAUGCUUAUUAGCUUAUUCUUUGGUUCUUAGAGAACACAGGACCUCCAGCCCAGGGGUGGUGGCUGCCCCCUUUCACCAGUCACUGAUACAAAAAUGCCUUACAGGCUUGCUUGCCCACAGCCCUAUCUUAAGGAUGCAUUUUUACAAUUGUAGCUUCCUACGCCAGUGAUUAGCUUGUGUCAAGUUGACAUAAAAGUAGCCAGUGCACACUCAUACAAGGUACUAAAACAUGCGAGUAAAAAAUGAGAGUUCACAAUCAAAUAUUUUAAUUUUUAGGUGUAACAAAACCUGUCUCAUUUGAAGGUGCUUGAACAAAUACUUUCCAAAAACUUGUCAUGGAGAGUGAGUGAAACAAGCUACCAGGACUACAUUUGCAAAGAACAAGCAUGUAGGUGGCUGUAGUGGAUGUCCAACAUUGGGAGCUGUGAUUUCUAAAAACCCUUCAUUGUUUUGUGUGCAGCUCACAUUUUGGAAGGUAAAAUGAAGACCAUGAACAAAGUCAAGAAACCACGAACAGAAGCAAAUGAUGAAAAUUAGUAUUUAAUUUGAUAUUAAUAAAAUAAGUUAUGUAGAAAUAGUUAAUCUUAA
Molecule: long non-coding RNA, 809 nt
Filed under: Mus pahari (shrew mouse)
Lineage: Eukaryota; Metazoa; Chordata; Mammalia; Rodentia; Muridae
Description: lncRNA (MGP_PahariEiJ_G0005250.1)
Source: RNAcentral